CCGCCCAUAGCUCAAUUUGGUAGAGCAGCUGCCUCUUAAGCAGUUGGUUAUAGGUUCGAGUCCUAUUGGGCGGA
Molecule: transfer RNA, 74 nt
Filed under: Candidatus Kaiserbacteria bacterium RIFCSPHIGHO2_12_FULL_56_13
Lineage: Bacteria; Candidatus Kaiseribacteriota
Description: tRNA-Lys
Rfam family: tRNA
About the family: Transfer RNA (tRNA) molecules are approximately 80 nucleotides in length. Their secondary structure includes four short double-helical elements and three loops (D, anti-codon, and T loops).
Source: RNAcentral